UCUCUCAGUUCGGACUGGAGUCUGCAACCCGACUCCACGAAGCUGGAUUCGCUAGUAAUCGCGCAUCAGCCACGGCGCGGUGAAUACGUUCCCGGGCCUUGUACACACCGCCCGUCAAGCCAUGGGAGCCGGGGGUACCUGAAGUGCGUAACCGCGAGGAGCGCCCUAGGGUAAAACUGGUGACUGGGGCUAAGUCGUAACAAGGUAAC
RNAcentral lists this ribosomal RNA (209 nucleotides) under uncultured bacterium. RNAcentral describes it as "partial 16S ribosomal RNA". It matches the Rfam family "Bacterial small subunit ribosomal RNA", at positions 1284 to 1500 of the family's 1533-position model. The record is from RNAcentral.